Molecule: ribosomal RNA, 179 nt
Filed under: uncultured bacterium
Lineage: Bacteria
Description: partial 16S ribosomal RNA
Rfam family: Bacterial small subunit ribosomal RNA
Source: RNAcentral
ACUCCUACGGGAGGCAGCAGUGGGGAAUAUUGCACAAUGGGCGGAAGCCUGAUGCAGCGACGCCGCGUGAGGGAUGACGGCCUUCGGGUUGUAAACCUCUUUCAGCAGGGACGAAGCGUAAGUGACGGUACCUGCAGAAGAAGCACCGGCUAACUACGUGCCAGCAGCCGCGGUAAUAC